CCCUUAGAUGUUCUGGGCCGCACGCGCGCUACACUGACCAGUGCAACAAGCAUCCGUCCUUGGCCGACAGGCCCGGGCAAUCUUUGAACGCUGAUCGUGAUGGGGAUAGACUUUUGCAAUUUUUGGUCUUCAACGAGGAAUUCCUAGUAAACGCAAGUCAUCAACUUGCAUUGAUUACGUCCCUGCCCUUUGUACACACCGCCCGUCGCACCUACCGAUUGAAUGGUCCGGUGAAGCCUCCGGAUUGGCGCGCACCUCGGUGCCGCCGAGAAGUUGGCUAAACCUUACCAUUUAGAGGAAGGUGAAGUCGUAACA
This 315-nucleotide ribosomal RNA is filed under the name uncultured eukaryote. RNAcentral describes it as "partial 18S ribosomal RNA". It matches the Rfam family "Eukaryotic small subunit ribosomal RNA", at positions 1470 to 1796 of the family's 1831-position model. The record is from RNAcentral.